Molecule: ribosomal RNA, 253 nt
Filed under: uncultured bacterium
Lineage: Bacteria
Description: partial 16S ribosomal RNA
Rfam family: Bacterial small subunit ribosomal RNA
Source: RNAcentral
UACAGAGGGGGCGAGCGUUAUUCGGAAUUAUUUGGCGUAAAGGGCGCGUAGGCGGCUUUUCAAGUGACGGGUGAAAUCCCUCGGCUUAACCGAGGAACUGCCUGUCAGACUGGAAGGCUUGAGACCGGGAGAGGUGAGUGGAAUUCCCAGUGUAGCGGUGAAAUGCGUAGAUAUUGGGAGGAACACCAGUGGCGAAGGCGGCUCACUGGACCGGAACUGACGCUGAGGCGCGAAAGCGUGGGGAGCAAACAGG